CCGUAGGGGGCUAGCGUUGCCCGGAAUCACUGGGCGUAAAGCGGGUGUAGGCGGUUCUUUAAGUCGGAUGUGAAAUCCCGCGGCCCAACCGCUGAAUUGCAUCCGAUACUGGGGAACUUGAGGACGGUAGAGGUCGGUGGAAUAUCCGGUGUACCGGUGAAAUGGACAGAUAUCGGAUGGAACACCAGUGGCGAAGGCGGCCGACUGGGCCGAUCCUGACGCUGAGACCCGAAAGCCAGGGUAGCGAACCGG
RNAcentral lists this ribosomal RNA (252 nucleotides) under uncultured bacterium. Its description in RNAcentral is "partial 16S ribosomal RNA". It matches the Rfam family "Bacterial small subunit ribosomal RNA", at positions 525 to 776 of the family's 1533-position model. The record is from RNAcentral.